CUAUUCAAGAUGGAGACGCCCUGGUUCAGACGCCUCUGACAGAUGCUCCAAGAUGAUGUGAAGCAUCAACAUGUUCACCUCUGCUCUGGUUACAAGAGGGAUGCAGUGUUCCAGGUGUCACAUGGAGAUAGCCGGGCAUCUCAUGAAGACAGGGGCAUUUUUGUCCUUUGAUACUUUCUAUGAAUAAGGAAAAAAUUAUCUGAUAUCUCCCUUAAAACCUUUCUGGCAGGAUUGGGCCCCAUAGUGUGCCUUGCUGGAGGAGAGGCUGGAAGGGACAGUACCCGCCAUCUUUGUUCUCUCAGGUUGGAGACAGGCCCUGCUGGAGAAUGGGGAGGCACGAGGAAUAAAGAGGGUCUACUUCAGAGCAGCAGAAAAAAUGUUUCUUUCUGGAAAUAUACUGAAGAACAAAAUGUGAUAUGAAGACAUAUGGAAUAUAAAAACAAAGGGUGGACAGGCUGUGUAAAAAUGGAAUCUGUCACUCAUGUCUCCUAUUUGAUAAAUUGGAGUAUAUAUAAAUUUACUCAAUUUAAAUGCAAAUAUUUGAUUUUAGAAAGUCUCAUACUCUAUAUAUUAUAGGGCAGAAAAUUUUCAUAUCAUCGCACACUCUAUUAAAGAGGAUUUCAAACUAUUUUAAAACUGUUCAGCAGCCUUGUAAUAAAGUUAUCCUCUGAACCUCUUCACACACUUAUCAACCUUGACUUAUAUUACUCCAAAUAUUUCAGCCUGUUUCUUGAGGAUGCUUUACCUUGGGGUCUCUAAGUGUAAAGAUUUCCAGUUGUUUCCAGCACAUUCUGUCACCUUUGUUCAACUCUCCAACUUUACUUCAUUAAUGUAUAUGGAUAAUGUUCAGUUCCAUCACAUCUUAUGAAGAACUAAUGAAGCUCUUCCAGACUUAAUUUUAGGAUUCAGUGGCUGUCUGGAUUCCCUUGUAUCAGCAUUCACUUUCGUCAUCACUUGCCUUGGUAAUUUCUCCUUCUCACAACAGCAAAUUUCACGACUAACGAUGGCCCGAAGGCUCCUUCCCUCCACGGGAUUCUGCUCCAGCCACAGCAGAGACUAUUUUGCACACCUUCCAGACAUUGCUGCCCCAUUCCAGGUACCUCAAGGUCAAUAAACACAACAUGCAAAUCUCAUCUUAUACCCAUCAGGAGUAUAAACAAGACAGUUGAAUGCACACUGUUAUCAAACACUUUGUCUCUUACUGUUUUUUAAUUUUAUUUUUUUGCUGCUUUCAAUUGCUGUUUUAAGAACACAUUAUAUCUCCUUUAGGGAAUAAAUUCAACACAAUGAGAAAAUUAAGUACA
Molecule: long non-coding RNA, 1304 nt
Organism: Homo sapiens (human)
Lineage: Eukaryota; Metazoa; Chordata; Mammalia; Primates; Hominidae
Source: Ensembl